GUAAUGUAUGGGGAUCUGCCCGAUAGAGGGGGAGUAACUACUGGAAACGGUGGCUAAUACCGCAUAAUGUCUACGGACCAAAGCAGGGGCUCUUCGGACCUUGCACUAUCGGAUGAACCCAUAUGGGAUUAGCUAGUAGGUGGGGUAAAGGCUCACCUAGGCGACGAUCUCUAGCUGGUCUGAGAGGAUGAUCAGCCACACUGGGACUGAGACACGGCCCAGACUCCUACGGGAGGCAGCAUG
Molecule: ribosomal RNA, 243 nt
Filed under: uncultured bacterium
Lineage: Bacteria
Description: partial 16S ribosomal RNA
Rfam family: Bacterial small subunit ribosomal RNA
Source: RNAcentral